AGAGUUUGAUCAUGGCUCAGAACGAACGCUGGCGGCGUGGAUAAGACAUGCAAGUCGAACGGAGCAUUUCAGGUAGCAAUAUUUGAAAUGUUCAGUGGCGAACGGGUGCGUAACACGUGGAUAACAUUCCGGGAAGCGGGGGAUAGCCCAGGGAAACUUGGAUUAAUACCGCAUGUGGUCGAAAGACUAAAGGUGGGGACCGCAAGGCCUGCCACUUCCCGAUUGGUCCGCGGCCUAUCAGCUUGUUGGUGAGGUAAUGGCUCACCAAGGCUACGACGGGUAGCUGGUCUUAGAGGACGACCAGCCACACUGGAACUGAGACACGGUCCAGACACCUACGGGUGGCAGCAGUCGAGAAUCUUUCACAAUGGGGGCAACCCUGAUGGAGCGACGCCGCGUGGAGGAUAAGGUCUUCGGAUUGUAAACUCCUGUCAUGCGAGAACAAGGUACUCAGGUUAAUAACCUGAAUGUUUGAUGGUACCGCAAGAGGAAGAGACGGCUAACUCUGUGCCAGCAGCCGCGGUAAUACAGAGGUCUCAAGCGUUGUUCGGAAUCACUGGGCGUAAAGGGUGCGUAGGCUGCGCCGUAAGUCAGAUGUGAAAGCUCAGGGCUCAACCCUGAAAUUGCAUCCGAUACUGCGGUGCUUGAGAAAUGAAGGGGAGUCUAGAAUUUUCGGUGUAGCAGUGAAAUGCGUAGAUAUCGAAAGGAAUACCAAAGGCGAAGGCAGGACUCUGGGCAUUUUCUGACGCUGAUGCACGAAGGCCAGGGUAGCGAACGGGAUUAGAUACCCCGGUAGUCCUGGCAGUAAACGGUGCACGUUUGGUGUGGGAGGAUUCGACCCCUUCCGUGCCGGAGCUAACGCGUUAAACGUGCCGCCUGGGAAGUACGGUCGCAAGAUUAAAACUCAAAGAAAUUG
RNAcentral lists this ribosomal RNA (916 nucleotides) under uncultured bacterium. Its description in RNAcentral is "bacterial SSU rRNA". It matches the Rfam family "Bacterial small subunit ribosomal RNA", at positions 8 to 912 of the family's 1533-position model. The record is from RNAcentral.